GGUAUUUUGACCGUGCAAAGGUAGCAUAAUCAUUAGUUUUUUAAUUGAAAGCUGGAAUGAAAGGUUGGAUGAAAAAUAAGCUGUCUCUAUUUAAUUUUAUUAGAAUUUUAUUUUUAAGUUAAAAAGCUUAAAUUUAAAUAGAAGACGAGAAGACCCUAUAGAGUUUAAUUUAUUUUUAAAAUAAGAUUAUUGGUAUUUAUUAUUUUUAUUAUAAUAAUGAAUUUAGUUGGGGUGAUUGAAAAAUUUAAUAAACUUUUUUUAUAUAUGAACAUUAAUUUAUGAUUAAUUGAUCCUUUUUUUAAGAUUAAAAGAUAAAAUUACCUUAGGGAUAACAGCGUAAUUUUUUUUGAGAGUUCAAAUCGAAAGAAAAGAUUGCGACCUCGAUGUUGGAUUAAAAUAAAAUUUUGGUGUAGAAGCUAAAA
Molecule: ribosomal RNA, 422 nt
Filed under: Laparocerus squamosus
Lineage: Eukaryota; Metazoa; Arthropoda; Insecta; Coleoptera; Curculionidae
Description: partial 16S ribosomal RNA
Source: RNAcentral